RNAcentral lists this ribosomal RNA (527 nucleotides) under uncultured microorganism. Its description in RNAcentral is "bacterial SSU rRNA". It matches the Rfam family "Bacterial small subunit ribosomal RNA", at positions 9 to 520 of the family's 1533-position model. The record is from RNAcentral.
GAGUUUGAUCAUGGCUCAGGAUGAACGCUGGCGGCGUGCCUAAUACAUGCAAGUCGAACGAACAGAUAAGGAGCUUGCUCCUUUGACGUUAGCGGCGGACGGGUGAGUAACACGUGGGUAACCUACCUAUAAGACUGGAAUAACUCCGGGAAACCGGGGCUAAUGCCGGAUAACAUGUUGAACCGCAUGGUUCUACAGUGAAAGACGGUCUUGCUGUCACUUAUAGAUGGACCCGCGCCGUAUUAGCUAGUUGGUGGGUAACGGCCUACCAAGGCGACGAUACGUAGCCGACCUGAGAGGGUGAUCGGCCACACUGGAACUGAGACACGGUCCAGACUCCUACGGGAGGCAGCAGUAGGGAAUCUUCCGCAAUGGGCGAAAGCCUGACGGAGCAACGCCGCGUGAGUGAUGAAGGUCUUCGGAUCGUAAAGCUCUGUUGUUAGGGAAGACAAAUGUGUAAGUAACUGUGCAUAUCUUGACGGUACCUAACCAGAAAGCCACGGCUAACUACGUGCCAGCCGCCGCCG